Molecule: long non-coding RNA, 199 nt
Filed under: Elaeis guineensis (African oil palm)
Lineage: Eukaryota; Viridiplantae; Streptophyta; Magnoliopsida; Arecales; Arecaceae
Description: long non-coding RNA (EGUI_LNC020484)
Source: RNAcentral
AGUUGGGACAACGUGACGCCAAUCGAAGAGCGUCACGGGGGUAUAGCUACGGCAUAUGAUGCCCAGCUCGGUUUGCCAUGACUCACACCAUCCCCUCGUCUGACCACCGAUGUAGACUAACCUGAAACAACAAUAAAUAAAUCGUUAGUAUGAUCCAAACAAAAGAAUCAAAUUUUAUUAUAUAUAAAGUAUAAUAAUU